RNAcentral lists this ribosomal RNA (403 nucleotides) under uncultured bacterium. Its description in RNAcentral is "partial 16S ribosomal RNA". It matches the Rfam family "Bacterial small subunit ribosomal RNA", at positions 30 to 526 of the family's 1533-position model. The record is from RNAcentral.
AUUGAACGCUGGCGGCAGGCCUAACACAUGCAAGUCGAGCGAGCGGCGGACGGGUGAGUAAUGUAUGGGGACUGCCCCUUCGAGGGGGAUAACUACUGGAAACGGUAGCUAAUACCGCAUACUAUCGGAUAACCCAUAUGGGAUUAGCUAGUAGUGGAGGUAAUGGCUCACCUCGGCGACGCUCCCUAGCUGGUCUGAGAGGAUGAUCAGUCACACUGGGAAUGAGACACGGCCCAGACUGCUACGGAGGCAGCAGUGGGGAAUAUUGAACAAUGGGCGCAAUCCUGAUGCAGCCAUGCCGCGUGUAUGAAGAAGGCCAUAGGGUUGUAAAGUACUUUCAGUCGGGAGGCGUUACCGGCAGAAGAAGCACCGGCUAACUCCGUGCCAGCAGCCGCGGUAAUUC